CCUCGUUCCGCCCGCGGGGCCGAGGCCGCCGGGGACAGCGCCCGGCCCGGCCGUCCGCGCACGGAAGCUGAUGUGAAAGAAACCAACUAUGAAGGAUCCGAGGAGAAUUCGUACUGCCUGUUUCCACAAUUACUAACAAGUGCUUUCCUGCUGAACCUUCAGAUUGAGAAGAAAUUCUCAUAGAACUGAUGGAGUUGACCUUAGAAACCAACAACUGGAAGUGUGAUUCAACCACUCCUGGGGUUUUUGUCACCUUCAGACCUGCGUUGUGAAUAUGAACAUUUAGAGUGCUGUUACUCUGAAGAACCUCAAGGAGGGAUACCCAUUUUGGAAACCUGUGAGCUCAGUUAAGAAAAUACACCGAGAUGGCUGACCAAAGUGCAGAAUAACAUUGAAAGCAGCAGUGUUCUCUGCAAGAUUACCUGGUGAUGCUGGAGAGUGAUUAUGACUGCAGGGAGCACGGUGCUGGUCAGUACAGAAGGGCUUGUAAAGUGAGCUGAGGAUGAGAUGGGUUUACCACAAAAGUCUUGGCGCUCUCGGUAUCCACAUCAUCAGUGAGCUGCAGAUAAACACAGCACACAUAUCAGAGGAUGGAUGCGGAGGUGGACUGGGACUCUGAAAAUAGCACUUGUGAUACAGGUGAGGAGCUGUCAAAUGAUUCCAGAAAGAGCACUGAGGAGGUGGGCUACAAGUCUUGCCUCCAGGAGGAGGUGGGCAUGAAUUACUCACAGACACUCAGUCCUUGUCGCAACUCUGCAGGACCAUCAGAUAAACAGGAACUUUCUACAGAGUUGCAGUGUGAAGACAAAGAAAUCUAUCAGACCUAUUACCAGAAACAAGGUGAGAGUACAGCUGGGAUAUUUGUCCCCUCCAGUACCAACUUGGACCUGCAGCGCGAAGAUAAAACCUCGCAACGUGGUUCCUCUGAGCACUCCAAGAGAUCACGGAGAAGAGCACGUGGUGAUAAUGAAAAUGCCCUUCUUGGUGGUGUGUUUGAUGCAGAGCCUGCAUCUGGGAAGGCUUUGUCCUAUCGGUGCAAGAAGUGUGGUGCCUCUUUCCAGGGGCCGAGUGAGCUGCAGCAACAUAAGAGGACUCACCUCGUGGAAAACUCGUACCGCUGUCCUGUCUGUGCCAAAGAGUUCUUCCGUGCAGCAAACUUACGCAUGCACAAGCUCAUUCAUAACAGUGACAGGCCACACAAGUGCCCAGAGUGUGACAAGGGUUUCAUUCGCACGGCUGAUGUCUGGAGGCACCUCCGCAAUGUGCACAAGAUAGAGCGCUCCAUGGUGAUCUUAGGCAACGGUAUGGCUAGGAACCCGUGGUCGAUAGUGCACCGUAACCAGCACACUGUUGAGUACACCGAUCAGCCUUGUGCAGACAACCACAAGGCUGAGGAAGAAGACUGUAAGCCUUACGCCUGCCCAACGUGUGGCAAAGGUUUCGAUAAGCCAAACCUGCUUUCCAAACACAAAGUGAUCCACCGGCAGGAGAAGCCCUAUAAGUGUCAGGAAUGUGGCAUGGCGUUUGUCCAGCUGCUCAGGCUGAAAAGACACCAGCAGACUCACUCUGGGGUGCGUCCCUUCUAUUGUGAGGAGUGUGGAGGGACGUUCACAAGGCUGGCCUCGCUCCAGCGCCACCAGCGCAUCCACACCGGAGAGAAGCCCUACUCUUGUGAUUACUGUGGGCAUUCCUUCACCGAGUCAGGCGCAGAUGGUCAGUGAAGAAAAGUAUCCACUGUGACUGCAGGUUCAGGUAGAUGUUGCCAAAUUCUACGGGAGUGUGACUUUGGAAGAGGUAUGUAUUGCCACUGUUAUGGUAAUGGGGUUUUAACUUUGAAGCAUAAUCAUGAUGCUUACAAUAGCCUCUUGUUAACUACUGUGGUAGAAGCAUCCAGUUUGCCCUUAAGUGCCAGCUCAGAUUUCCUUUCUGUCAGAAAGCUUUGCUUCCUUUCCCUGCCAGCUGCUGUGAAUUCACUAGUUUCUGUCUAAUGCAUUCUGCCUUUUCAGCAGGAGGCUGUGCAGCAGAGUGAAAGUAAAACUUCAGGGUAAUGUACCUUUGCAUUUACUACCAGACUAUUUAAUGUAAAGUAGUGGUUGUGCCAUUCGCCUGCAUCUUUUGCAGGUAAAAAUAGCUUGUAUUCUCCUGUGUUUCUGUGCAGAUGUGAAGUUUCAAGACUGUGUGUAAGAGCUUGGGCUGAAUGUGAUGCUGUUCCUGGGGUGAUGGCUGCUCAGCAGGCGUGCUGCACUCAUGCUUGGUACAGCGUUUGAUGUGAGGUCCUUGGCUCAGAUCAAGCUGAACCACUGUCCUCAGCAGCACUUCAGCUUGACUGCAGAAAAGAGACUAAUUCUCCCAGUCUCACUAGUGGAUUGCUUUGAUUUGAUUCAUCAAAGGAGUUUCUGGAUCAGGGAUCAGAUCUGCAUUCCUGUUCUUAGGAAUGUGUUGUGCUGUCUCUGAAGUGAUGUAAUGCAGAUACCUGUGCCAAGGCCCUCCAUACCAUGUACAUUUACUAAAGCGGUGAAUGAGACUUCUCCAAGCUACCCCUGCAGGGAGUGCCAAUACUGAAAAGCUUUUCAGAGACAGACCUCAUCUGAGGGCUGCUUCAUCUCUGUAAGGAAAGAUCUUCAAAUGGAAAGAGUUCUGGCCAGAAGGAAACAGUGGGUAAAUAACCUGCUGAGAGAGGUGCUGUUCUGUAGGGACUGGGUUGUAGUCUGAAGUGACCCAGAGAGGGGGAGGACAGCAAGGAGCAAAGCCAUCCCGGGAGCUGUCACACAUUAAGUAUACACCCUCCUCUAAACCCAUAUUGAGUUGUCAGCCACAGUCUCCCCUUUUUCAGCAUCUUGCUUUCCCUUGGUAUGCUGUGCUCUUGCUGUAGUGGGGUUUGGUAUCUAAUUAAACUGCACCAGUAUGCACAGCUUUAUGCUGUUUGACUGUUCUGCUUAGGCAGUUGUGGUAAUUAGGAACAUCCAGUUAUUCUGCUCGUUGGGGUUAGCAGCCGGUGCAAUUUGUACCUGUAAAAGCAUAAUGGUGAAAGUGUUUUGAACAAAGGCCCGUUUAAUGGGGAAAGUAAAUGGCUGGUGAAAUGGAAACUGCUAGGCUUAACUGAAAGCUUAUUAAAAAGAUACUUGCCUGGAAGGUUGACUUGGAUAUCGAGUGCUCGGAUGUGUGAAGGGAGUAAUUAAAAUGUGUGAUGAUUUCUGGGAAAAACCUGUUGAACCCUCUGCAAAGAAACUUCCACAAACUCCUGCACAAGUUGCAGGAAGUCCAUUGCAACUUAAUUUAGCCCGGAGAUCAUCAUUUCUUCCAAGCUUUAAUACAAGGGUUUGGAAGUCAUCUGACCCUCUCUCAGUGUGAAUUGCAGGCUCUUCUCAUCACCUGAUGGUGUUGGUGAGCAGUGGAAUGUAGAAAUACAGAGUGGAGCAUGACAUGCUGGAAAUAGAAAGGAGAACUGUGUUUUUAUUGUGAUUCUUCCCAAGCAGGCCUGCUUCUGUUCAAGCUGCCAGCACAGAUGCAAGACUUGAGGUCCUUCUCACUUCUGGAUGCAUGCAGGUGCACACCUGUUGUAUGCUGUGUGUCUGUACAAAUGCUUGCUCAACACCACUGCAGUGCAUGUGAGUUAAAAGCACAAGAGACUUUCUUUUAAACUGCUCAUGGCAUACAUGAGUAGGUCUGUAGACAGAGUAUUUAUUCCCAGUGUAUUCACUUGAGAUACAACAACAGUUUUAAAAUAGCUCAGGGAUUGAGGAGUCUGUGUAAACACAAAUAAUAUCCUCAAUUUUAAGUACAUCAUUUUCUUCUCAGUUCUACAAGUGUUACACGGCAUCCACUUUGUAAUGGUUGCACAGUAAUUACUGCAAGAGUGAAAAAUAAAGCUAGGCUUCCCCCUGCCUGGCCAGUCCUUAGCAGCUAUGGUAAUAUCACAAUACAAGCACAUUUGUAUGUUGUUUACAGAUAUAUUUAUGUGUCUGCAAUGUUGUAGCACAGCCAGAUGGGACCAUGGCUAACCUCUGCAGCAGGUUUUCUUACCACUGCGAAGAAGAGCAAAAAAUCUGGGAUGUGGCCUCAGAGGGUGUGUGAUGCUGGCAUCAAUGUUGUUGAGGCCUAACCUGCUAAGUCAAGUGGAAGCAAACUGGAAACAAGGACAUCUCUCACUUUGGACUGUUCCCAGGUCCCUCCCAGAAGCACUUGUAUGCAGGGGGUUGGACAGGCUGAAGCAGAGUCAUGCAGACACUGCAGAAGUAUCUUCAUCUUGCUUAUGUGUAGAGCAAGGAGAUGCUCAUUCUAAAACCACAGUGAAUACUUUGCUUCCACAAGCUUUGCCAGCAGCUCCGCAGGCUCUGCCCUGCGCCAUGUGAAGCAGCUCUGGGAGCUCGUGCUGAAGGAAAGCUCCUACGCUGCUGCAAGGCAGGAGAUGUGGGAGGAGGGCAGGUAUUGCUGGCUGCAAACUACAGUAUUUUCUGAAAUUAACACAAAAAGAAUCGCAUCCAGAACCAGCACAUCAGAUGCUUCCCCCCCUUCUCCCCACCCAUAUUCAUCGGUUCAGGAGGCUGUGAUGCCAAGUGGCAACUCCAUAUGGGUAAAUAUGAAUUUGAAUGGCUGUCAGGGGAGGAUCAGCACCUAGCGAUGCCUUCAGGGUGCAGCAGCCUGAUGUAUUACAGACAGCCAACGAGACUGACUUUGCCUGUCAGUGUGACGAAGAGGCACUGCUCUGCUGUAAGGCAGGGAAUAGGGCAAGCAGCCAGGACACAGAGCCCCAGGGAGCUUCGAAGGGAAGUGAAUGUGGGCUGAAAUCCUCAUCCCUGCAGCACGUGGAUAAGACAUUUGGUUCUUUGUGAUGGCUGCUCUUUUUGUGGUCCCUGAAUGACCCUGAAUGGUGGGGUUCUUCCUUUCCUGCUGUGCACCUUCCCUUCUUGCAUCAUCCGGCUGGUACUCAUUCUCCCCACCAUUCUCCAGCAAUUAAUGCUAGAUGUAACAUCACCAUGCUGUUUCCUUCAGAAAUAGUCUACCAGGAUGGGAAAGAAGCCAUCUAGAUCCAUGCAGAAGCCUGUCACCCUGACUUUCAGCCUGACUUUGGGGACAGUCUCUGCCACCAGCAAGACCCAGACUGAGGCGGCAUUAAGAUUGGUCGUGAUGGAGGAAAAGAGGAGGCACUCGGCACAACGAGCAGCAAAAAUAGAUCAAACAGCAGGAAAUCCGCUCUCUGACAGCGCAGGAGAGCCACGCAGUGGAAAGCACUGGUCCAGCAGGAGGUCGUCCAAGACAAACAUGGAACUGCUUUGCGGGGCAGCCCAGCUGGCGGGCAGGAUGGGCAGACAUUCUGCCUCACUGCCAUCCCUGCAGACAGUCAGGGAGGAGAUAUCCCAGCUCAUGAUAGGGAGAAGGAUCCCUUCUCACCACCGCCUGAAGUGAUCUGCUGGAUUCUUUCAUCAGAAUGAGUUUAUCAGCCUGAGUAGCAUCAGUGCAGAAGCGUAGAAUGGCUCAAGUUGGAGGGGACCUUAAAGAUCACUGAGCUCCAACCCCCAAUGGUUCUGUGUGUCCUCCUCAGGGAGGCUGGCUCCAAACACAGCCUGGCUUUGUUCUGCUCCAGUGGAAUGUUUGUAUGGAUGCAAACUUAGACCUAAAUGUCCUGCAGGGACAUGGUGCUCAUAGAAGCAACUGCUCACCAAAACGAACGGGGAGUUGAAUGGUGCCUCUUGCAUUGCUGUGGCACUGCCAGCGUUGUUGUGCAGUGGCUUUUCCAAAGUGGAGAUCGAAGAAGUAGAGAUUGAAGACUCGUGAGUGCUCCUGAUGGCAUGUUCUACUGGCUUCCAUGGGGCAGGAAGGUGAAAGCUGGCAAGGAUUCCAGGGCAAAAAAAGGCUAAGUGCAUCCUGAAGCAUAUGCUAUGCUCAUAAAUGGAAAGGAGGGAUCUUCUCAUCUACAAGAAGAAAUUGUUGUGGUGUAACAGAAGAACAUGUUGGUUUUCUGUGCUACUCCCUGUAGGCAAAAUUAGGUUUUAACUGCAAGCAAGCAAACCAAAGAGCUAACAGGUGAGAUUGUGCAACAUCCAAACUAUCGCCCUUACAGGGCACACAGGCAAUAGCUGGGGUUUUCCUGCAUCUACCAAGUGAGUAGAGCUAGCAGUGUUUAAUACUGAGUAAUCCUUCGGGGAGUGCUGCAUGAUCUGUGGUGGUUUUAGAGAGAGAAUUCUGUGAGCUGAGAGAUGGGAGCGACAGUAGUGAUACAAAGCCCAUUGAUAUAGAACACAAGGUCCUUGGGCCAGAGGAGCAAUAGCAUGUGUUAAAGUAGGACUUCGAUGUCUGGAGGUGGCAGAGAAAGUCGCCACCUGAAUGCUGUCAUUCAAAAGGCAGAUGCACGUUUAGAAUAUCAGGAUUAUUAAGGUUGGAAAGGGCCACUAAGAUCAAGUCCAGCUGCCAGCCCAUCACCACUAUGGCUUUCAGUGCCACGUCUAUGUAUUUCUUGGCGAUUCUCACGGCAGUGUCUCUCCAUUGACAUUAAAACCUCUAGGUCAGGACCCACCAAGAUGUCUGCUGGAUCAGAGGGUGCAGAUCUGACCAUCCUUAUUCCAGAAAAUGUCAGCUGGGGGCAAGCACAUUGCAAAUGAAGGUGAAGGAGGCAUGAGGACUGGAGGUGAUUGUCCCUCAGUUUUCCAGCUUGGCAGCGGCAGGCGCUGAGCUCAGUUUCCACCCCUGCCAGGCAGAAGAAAGUGUUCUUCUCCUUUUUGCCUCCUAAUGAUGAUGACAGUGCUCCUCUUGCACUGUGUGUGUCCUUAAUGCUGAAAGACCCUUCUUGUGCUUGGUGCUAGUGUUCCCAGCCCUUGGCUUGGGCAGGGUAUGCCAGCCAACUGGACAACCAUUCGUUCCUCUGAGAGCCUGUCUAUUCUGCAAUUAAGAGACAAAAUGCCCACCACUGUGGCUGGAAAAAGGUUUUAAUUAAAAUCCUUUGGUGUUGGCCUUGACUGGACUAUAGAGUGAACAGGAGGAGGGCAGAAGACCAAGGUCAUGUCUUGGGUCACCUCAGCAGAGCAUCCCUGAGCUGGGGCUGAGCACAAGGCAGGGCCUGGUUUUUAAUUGCUUUUUUUUUUUCUCUUUGCCCUUGGGUGACCUGUCCAAGGGAUGGUCACAAUCUCAUAGGAUACUGCCAACCCAAAGUUGGGACAGGUCCACAGGUCCUUUGUGUCUUAAUGAGGAACCAUGAAUAGGAGUUCACAUCACACACAAAUGAAAACACCUCACCAUUAUCCCUAAUGAGUGUCACUCUUAAAAUGCUUUUGUUAUGGGCUUUGCUGGGCUUGUAGAGGUGCCUGGGGCCCUGUCUCCUGACAGGGUGACUGCUGUCACCUUCCCCAUCUCCCAUGGCUAGCAGAAAGAUGACCUGGUAGACCUGUAAUAUGUGUGGUUCCCCAACUGCUGUAUCUACAGAUGCUACAGUUUGCUACAGUUUGCUCUGCUGGGGAAAGCCAUGGAAAUUCAUGGAAGAAUCACCAAAUAAGCCCCAGGAAGCAGGGAGGGUCUCCGUGUCAUCUUGCUUGCUUAUGUGGUAGCCAGCUCUCUGGACCUUUUUCUGUUCCCUCUGCUCAGGACAAAAUGAUGGAUUUUCUGGUUUGCAUGCCAAUGAGUAAGAAAGAUUAAUCAUAUUAUCACUAAGGUUGGAAAGUACUACUAAGACCAUCUAGUCCAACUCCAACCCAUACCCACCCAUGCCCUCUAAGCUACGUCCCUUGUGCCACUGUGGCAUGGGAAAGGGUUUUACUUUUCAUUUGGUCUCCGGCCUAGAGAAAUCAAUGGUCUUUUACAAGUUUAAAAACAAAAAUAUAUCCUUUUCUGCUGCUGUUUAAAUGCUUCUCUCUUGCCUUAGGCUGUGAUUUUGCGCUGUACAGUCUGAGCACCACGGGAGAUCCUCAGCCCAUGCUGGUGAAGGAGAUGGCAUCAAGGCAAACUGAGAGCUUGGUGGAUGGAUUUGGGAUGGAUUGCUACAUGGCACAGCAUGAGCCCAUCCCUCAGAGCCAGGACCAUUCCCCUGCAGGGAUAUAUGGUGCGGGAUGUGGCAUGCAGGAGAGCAGCAGAGGCAUCCCAUGUGGGCAUCAAGGCAGAUCCCUCCACAAGCCCUUUUUAGAGAUGAAAUCAACAUUUUAGGACAGUGAUGGGGGGACUUAUUUUACUGUUCCCUUAGAAAAAUGCCCUUUUGGAUGCCAAAAGACAGCAGACAAAGAUGCUGGCCACAUUUUCCCCCUCCCUUUCAAACCCCUUUCUGCACGGUGACGUUUCCCAUUUCCAAACCCUGCUCUCGAUUUCUUAUUCCUUCCUUUUCCCCUCCUAUUUCCCCUCCCUCCCUCUGAGCCCCCUGGGACCGGGCCCCUGCCCAGGGAGCCCUGGCCGUGUGCCGAUGGCAGCUCCUGGCACAAUGAGCACAUUCAGCCGGGCACCGCGCAGCGAGGAACAAACCAGGCAAGAGCAUGGGACCCCCCCUGACCCCUCAUUGCCUCCCCCAAAUAGCAGCGCAAGAAACAAAGCGGCUGAGGCCGUGUCCCAGUGCGCCGGCGGAGGCGAACUGGAAUCCAGCAUCACAAAACCAGCCCUGUGCAUGCUCCAUUCACGACGCAGGCGCGCGGGUGUCCUGCUCCCCCCUCCCUGCCUCCAUCCCCCCAAAAUCUCCAAAUCUGCCCGGUAACACCGAAGCAGGCUCCCUUUCCCAGGCUUCGGCCAAUCUGCGCGCUGCCAAGGCGGCGGUGCAGGGAACGGCAUGUUUUCCUUCUCCCUUUCUUCCUUCCGAGCCGCUUGUUUUUCUUUGGGGAUGGAGGGGAGGUGCUGGGCUGAGCUCAUGGGCUGCCCCCGCUUUAGCACACGUGUCCUUUCCCCAUAAAAAAAUGAUAAUAAUAAUAAUAAAAAAGGUUCAAAGGAA
This is an RNA transcript of Lagopus leucura (white-tailed ptarmigan), 8896 nucleotides long. It is a transcript of the gene named zinc finger protein 648, with no coding region annotated. The transcript has 11 exons. NCBI's taxonomy places the organism in Eukaryota, Metazoa, Chordata, Aves, Galliformes, Phasianidae. The record is from RefSeq and is a predicted model, not a curated record.